Molecule: small RNA, 110 nt
Filed under: Flavobacterium circumlabens
Lineage: Bacteria; Pseudomonadati; Bacteroidota; Flavobacteriia; Flavobacteriales; Flavobacteriaceae
Description: 6S-Flavo RNA
Source: RNAcentral
ACUCAACACUAACAAAUUAAAGUGAGUGAAUCGUCGCUACUAUAGUACGUCCCGAUUUUAUUGGGAAAACUUGAACAGUGAGUUAGCUCAAAACUUGUCUUUACGAGUUU